GCGCACGUGGUGGAAUUGGUAGACACAGCGGUCUUGAAAACCGUAGCUCUUGGCGGAGAAUGUGGGUUCGAAUCCCACCGUGCGCACCA
RNAcentral lists this transfer RNA (89 nucleotides) under Burkholderia pseudomallei. RNAcentral describes it as "tRNA-Ser". It matches the Rfam family "tRNA". Rfam says of the family: Transfer RNA (tRNA) molecules are approximately 80 nucleotides in length. Their secondary structure includes four short double-helical elements and three loops (D, anti-codon, and T loops). The record is from RNAcentral. RNAcentral also lists the same sequence under 1 other name. Lineage: Bacteria; Pseudomonadati; Pseudomonadota; Betaproteobacteria; Burkholderiales; Burkholderiaceae.